This 5142-nucleotide long non-coding RNA is filed under the name Sus scrofa (pig). Its description in RNAcentral is "lncRNA (ENSSSCG00000062395.1, ENSSSCG00105004318.1)". The record is from RNAcentral. Lineage: Eukaryota; Metazoa; Chordata; Mammalia; Artiodactyla; Suidae.
CCCCACCUCCUAACAUUAUUACCUUGAAGGUUAGGAUUUCAACAUAAGGAUUUGAGGACAAUAUAAACAUUCAGUCUACAACAAACUCUCUCCAUAUGCAGUUCCUAUCAUAGCAGCUUGUUUUUUUCAGGGUCAUCGGAAGAGUUUCUCUAGUGUAAGAUAAUAAAACAGAACUAUAUAUGCAAGUAGAUAGAUAGAUAGAUAGAUAGAUAACCUAAUUAUAGGAAUAGCAUCCUAUUACCUGUGCCAUAUUCUGCUGGUUAGAAACAAGUCAGAGGUCCUACCCACAUUCAAAGGAGAGGGAUUACAUAGGGCAUGACCAUAGAGCUACCCUAAGGUCUAUCUGCCAUCUGCCACACUUGUGAAAAUCAUUUUCCACAAGCUCAUACUACAGAGAGCAUUCCUACAUGUCCAAGGAGUCUUUUCCUGGCAAGCAUCAUCCCAUUCAAAGGCCAAAUCAGUCCCACAAAAAUACUUAUUUCUGUUUCUGACCACUUCCCCAAAACAAAAUUAGAAAGAGUCUAGCGGUCAGUAGAAUGUAGCUAUUCGUCAAUCCAUAAUAUUACCAAACAAUGGCAUGAACCUAGGUGAUGACUUUCCAAAUCACUGCUGCUUGAUGAUAUUCUGAGAUAGCCUCAGAAUGACUCCCUAAUGUUUCCUUUCUCUGAUAUAAAUGGUUUAUUAUGUGAAGAGAGCUGUAAACAUGAGGUAGAAUGGCCUUAUGAGAAAGUUUAUGUCUCUAUGCAGUUCCAGGAUGGUAAAGGCUAGAACCCAGUGGUGUGCUUGAACAGUUAUUAAAGAAUAUCCAUGCCUCUGUUUAAGUGCUGAUGCAGACUUCCUUAAUAUAUGUUACUCUCAAGAAAAACAGCAAUGUCUCUCUUAUCCAACUCACAGAAACUAUCAAGUUGAUGGACUGUGCAAGAAUAAAGCUGGCUAAAGCAGAGAUUUUUUAAAUGAUGCACAUAUUCUUUAAAUAUUUUAAUCUAAAAAUAAAUAAAUUUAUAUCUUUUCCUAUUACUUUUUUUAACUUUAUGAUCAUUUAAAUUUAUUUCUAUCCUAAUAUUAUAUGAUAUUUUCUUUUUUUAAUUUAUUUUUUAUUGUUAUUUCCCCCAACACAUAAUUUCCUAUUAUUUUGAUGUAAGACCAAGACAACUUUUACUGUGUAUAAGUCUACCGAUUGGAUUUUCCUGUCAUCUCUCAUCAAUAUAUUCAUCUAUAAUGCAUCACCUAUGAUUUCUAGUUUAGUUUUCUUUAAAGCAGAGUAAAAAUACAAAAACACUAACAAAGUGUUUAACAAAGAACAGAUUUAAAGUAAAUAUUUUAGAUUUCACUAUUUAUUUUAUAUAUGCUUUAUUCAUAUCCAUGUGGAUAGUAAUUUUUUUGUAACUCACUUCUACUGAGUCUUUCAAAGCAUUUGAUGUAGUUUUCAAAGAAAUCAUCUCCUUUACAUUUUAUACUCAUAUUUUAUUAGUGCAAUGCAAUUAGUUUUCAAAACCACCAAACCAGUUCACCAAAACCAGUUUAAACAACAUUAACGGGUUUAGGACCAAGCUUAACUAAUUUUGGGAAGGGUUCUAUGUGAGCAGGUGGACUAGAGUAGUAUACUAGCCAUAGAACUCAGAGUGCUUCGGGCAACAGUUGGCAUGACUUAAGAUGGAAUAAAGAAUGUCAGUUAAUCCAGAAAAUUGGUUAAGAAAAAGUCAUUUAGAAGAGCUUCUGUUAUUGAUCGUCAAAAAUGUAAUCAAUUUACACAUUCAACAACAUUAGUUGAAUGCCUACCACAUCCUAAAUUAUGGUGGUAUGUGCUAGAUACUCCACAAAGAAGAAAAAAAUGUGAUCAUCGCCCUUGAAGAUUCUAAUACAAUUACUUUGUGAGGUGCUAUUACACUUAAGUAACAUCUGUAGCAUGAAGUGUUGCUAUCUUCUUUAACCUUAAAAAACUUUGGAUAUUAGCCUGGAUUCUGACAGGUAUUGAAGAAUGGUGAGAAAUUCACCGAGGUCCUAAGGUUAUUGCUUGAUGAUUUAUGACUCAUCAGUACUUAGAUGAAAGUGCCCUGUCAAAUUCAUUUUUUAACACCAACAAAUAUGAGGUUGAAUUGUAAAAUAGGUUCCAUUUACUCCAAUUUCUUUUAUGUAGUUAUGCUCAAGGAUGCAUGAAGGGGCCUGUGUUAUAUGAGAAAUUUUGCCAAAGAGUAGCAGAGAUGGAAAUUUACUCUAGAAAAAAAACCACAAGGGAAUAUUUAACUCUCCUCUCCUGCGCCCCAUAUAUAAAGUCACCAAGUCAUGUCAUUCAAAAUUGUCCAUUUCUCUCAACUUUACUAUGUUGCCAGAUUAAUAUAUUCCUCCUAAUCUCCUGAAAAAUUCUCUACUUCUUUCCUGACACCAAUAUUCCACCUCCAUUCCAUAUCCAUAGUGCUUCCAAAAUUCACAAAUCUGCUUGUAGGACUCUCACUUUUUAGAGCCCACUACAGAUCUCCACAAUCCAAAGAACAGUGCCUAAGCUCCUUCAAAUGGAACAAAACAGGACCCAAACAAUCUAGAUAUACCAUAUAUUAACAGUAUCAUCUACGAUUGUUUCUAUUCAGAUAGUCUAGGACCAGCAUCAUAAAUCCAUCUUCAUACCUUCUCCAAAUACCCAAACAUUAUUGUGUAAGUUAGUAUCAUUGCAGUUCUGUGUUUCUGAAAUACACUUUUUCCUUAAAAUCUUGGCAAACUCCCACUCAUCCUUCAAGAUCAACCCUUAAAAUCCUUACCCAAAUCUUCCAUGCAGAGUUUGUCCACAAUAUAUCUCAUAGCUCUCUUUUAUUGUGCAAAUUUUAUUGCAAUGUAUUUACUGAAUCCCAAACACCGAGUUGGGUCUAUGGAGACAAUGGUAAACAAGACCAUGAUAGCAUACUCUUAUUUUUUUAUUCAUUUACUUGUUGCCCUUAUUAUGCUGUGAACUCCUAGAGAGUGGACACCAUAUCUUAUUCAUUUCUCUCACUCCCAACUAUCUGAUGCAGUGCACUCAGGCUUCCAGGCAUGAACUUAAGUUGGCUGAAUGAACGACUGAACAUCAAUGCCAUUAAAUAUAACAAUAACAAUAAAGUAGCUUCAGAAAUUUUGUCAGAAAGUUUCCCAUACACUAUCAUCAGGGUUUUAGGAAAUAAAUGGGGCAGCAUUCUAAGUUGAAUAGCCUUCUCACUACCCUGGACUUUUUGUUUUGAUAUAAUUUUUUCUAUUCUUACUGAAUUAAAAUGAUAUGGCUUUAUUAAUUUAAAAAUCUACAUGAAUAAAUAUGUCUUCAUGCUUAUUCCCACAACCCAUUGAAGAUUAGAAACUAUAGUAACCAGUGCACCAUGUGGUACUGUAUACACAUAGUAAACAAUCAGGUUGACAUGGAUUUCCAGUGAACUGCAUAUUUCUUUUUUAGUAAGCACUUUUAUGAGUCACAUUUACCCCUUCUAAAUCUCCUAUUUGAGUUGGGGUAAAGAUAGAUUAGUUCUAUCUCCUAAUAUAAAAAUGUGAAAUUUUUCAUAUAAAUUUAAAUUCAAGAGCACACUUAACUUUUUUACUUUUAUGCCAUGUACCACUUUUACAAUAUUUGGUAUACUAAUGGUACACUUGAUAUGUGGUCACAAUUUCUUCAUUUUCCCUUUUAGUCAAUUGAGGUUUACAUCAAAGCUUUUAGAGAUAAUUGAAGAUCAGAACUUUGUUUACUCAAUUUCUUGAAAAUCUAAUUUACCUAAUUGUUAUCUGGCAAACCUUUAAUGAUAGGUGUUAAUUUAAUUGUAUGUACUAAUACCUUGCCAUGAGUGCAGCCAGCAGUUUUAAGACAAUUCUUUCUCUUUCAAAAGAGUAGAAAUUAAAAUCUGUAAAGAGCCAAUAAUCAUAAAUUAAUCCAUUAUAAAAUGAAUUUUCUGUUAUUUCUGAAUAAUUUAGCAGAAAACUGCAGUGAAACACUAGCUAUGAACACUAAGAUAUUUUAUUAACUUGGGAAUAUUCCAUUCCCAAGACCAACUUGGCUAAAAAUGUACAAAUCUUAGGAUGUAUUUCUUAAGAAUUUGCUGUGUGUUUGGUUAUUCAGUUAAAUUCCUAAAGAUAUUGGGACACUUUGAUCAUGAGAGUUUGCUAUGGCUAUUAAUUUUCCAGCACUACAUUCAAACAGUUGAAUCAGUGUCAUGUGAACACUUUGAGAAUCAGGAUUAUAAGAUCUAGGAUUCUGUUGAAGACAAAUGUAAGUAAUUUGGGAACCUAAAUAGCAUAUCAUAACAGCUACUUGGCAACAAGGGAUAGAUAGGGUAAUCUUUCUAAAAACUACUUUUACACUCAUAUUAAUAGUGCAGUUAUCUAAAAAUUGAAAUGCAUAAAAUUAUCCUCGUUAAAAAUCAAGAACUGGUGAAUUGAUGGUAGCAACUGAAAGGAACAAUGGUAAAAAUAAGCCCUAGAUUAUUCCCAUAGCAUAAUGCAUAUGGUAGAGGAGCAUGGAGAAUGUACAUAUAAAGGAAGGAUUGAGAGAAGUUGAGAGUUUCCACGGCAGACUGAUUAUUUUGUUGCAUUUAACAUCUAUCCCAAUCUGCCCCUUGGUAGAAAUGCAAAUAUCUGUAGCAUAGGUUUUUUUAAAUGACCAAAAGAAGGCAGUACAAAUAAAAGAGAAAGCUGCUAUUGACUUUUGAGCAGAAUAUUGACAGAAAAAACAAAGCUGAUUUAAAAUAGUUACAUUCUUUGCACUGUUUUAGCUUAGAAGUCUUACACAUCAAAUUAGUGACAAGUUACUGGAAGGAUGUGCUAGGUGAUUACUGAUAAUCAUGAAGUUGAUAAUCAUGAUUAUCUGAAAUAUGUCUUCAAAAUCUUUUUAAAUCAGAGACAUUCAUACAUGGCUCUUCAAAUCUCCACCCCUGCUUCUGCAUAUAAAGGGACAAAGAAGGAAACAAGAAGAAGCAGAAACCCUUGAGGCUAUGGGGUUCCUGUUGUGGCUCAGCUGUAAUGAACCCUACUACUAUCCAUGAGGACAGGGGUUCGAUCCCUGGCCUCACUCCGUGAGUUAAAGGAUCUGCCGUUGCCCUGAGCUGUGGCCUAAGUCGCAGACACGGCUCAGAUCCUGCGUUGCUGUGGUUGUAGUAUAGGCCAGCAGCUACAGCUUGGAUUCAACCCCUAGCCUGG